GAGUGGACUCCUACGGGAGGCAGCAGUGGGGAAUUUUGGACAAUGGGCGCAAGCCUGAUCCAGCCAUGCCGCGUGUCUGAAGAAGGCCUUCGGGUUGUAAAGGACUUUUGUCAGGGAAGAAAAGGACAGGGUUAAUACCCCUGUCUGAUGACGGUACCUGAAGAAUAAGCACCGGCUAACUACGUGCCAGCAGCCGCGGUAAUACGUAGGGUGCGAGCGUUAAUCGGAAUUACUGGGCGUAAAGCGAGCGCAGACGGUUACUUAAGCAGGAUGUGAAAUCCCCGGGCUUAACCUGGGAACUGCGUUCUGAACUGGGUAGCUAGAGUAUGUCAGAGGGGGGUAGAAUUCCACGUGUAGCAGUGAAAUGCGUAGAGAUGUGGAGGAAUACCGAUGGCGAAGGCAGCCCCCUGGGAUAAUACUGACGUUCAUGCUCGAAAGCGUGGGUAGCAAACAGGAUUAGAAACCCCAGUAGUCCGA
This 477-nucleotide ribosomal RNA is filed under the name uncultured bacterium. RNAcentral's name for it is "bacterial SSU rRNA". It matches the Rfam family "Bacterial small subunit ribosomal RNA", at positions 329 to 798 of the family's 1533-position model. The record is from RNAcentral.